UAGCUAUUGGCUGUCCUAAAAGUCGAUAAAUGACGUCAUCGCUUAAUUUGUACAAUUGACAAUGUGCAUGUAAUUGUGAUGUACGCUGUAGGAGAGAGGAAUAACGUCGUGGGAGAGAUAAAAAAUUGGGGUGCAACAUGGCUGCAAUCCAGGAUGAGUGGCAGGGGCUGAAAAUCCUGGUCAGCCACAAUUUCAAGGACAAGUCUUAGUGGCAUGUGGGAGACCAUGUUGACAAAGGACCCCUACAGGCACGAUUACAAGAACAUACUGGAGUUGGUGCAGCUUAUGCUGGUGCUGCCCAUUUCAGCCGCCCAGUGUGAGUGAGGCUUCUCUGCACAGAACUCGAUUAAGAUUGACAAGAAGCUGCCUUGGGGUCUCUACCACCGAAGACCUGAUGAGGAUCAGCCUGGGGGUCUUCUGUCGAGGAGUUGGAUCCCACUCCUGUCGUGGACCGCUGGCUGACCUCUAAGCGUGCCAACAUACAAAAGCAGCUGGACAACUGAUAUCCUUUGCGUCUAGUAGCCAUGAGUCAAUGUGUGAUUGGUGGUAUGUGUCCCUUAGUACACGCACGCAGUAUAAUUAUGUAUGUAAUAAAUUGUUUGUUAAUAAACUCUCGUGUUACUUGAACAUU
Long non-coding RNA from Oncorhynchus kisutch (coho salmon), 631 nucleotides. RefSeq lists it as uncharacterized. NCBI's taxonomy places the organism in Eukaryota, Metazoa, Chordata, Actinopteri, Salmoniformes, Salmonidae. The record is from RefSeq and is a predicted model, not a curated record. The transcript has 3 exons.